GACGAACGCUGGCGGCGUGCCUAAUACAUGCAAGUCGAACGAGAGCGACCGGUGCUUGCACUGGUCAAUCUAGUGGCGAACGGGUGAGUAACACGUGGGUAACCUGCCCAUCAGAGGGGGAUAACAUCCGGAAACGGAUGCUAAAACCGCAUAGGUCUUCGAACCGCAUGGUUUGAAGAGGAAAAGAGGCGCAAGCUUCUGUUGAUGGAUGGACCCGCGCUGCAUUAGCUAGUUGGUGAGGUAACGGCUCACCAAGGCCGUGAUGCAUAGCCGACCUGAGAGGGUGAUCGGCCACAUUGGGACUGAGACACGGCCCAAACUCCUACGGGAGGCAGCAGUAGGGAAUCUUCCGCAAUGGACGCAAGCCUGACGGAGCAACGCCGCGUGAGUGAAGAAGGUUUUCGGAUCGUAAAACUCUGUUGUUAGAGAAGAACAAAUGCUAGAGUAACUGUUAGCGCCUUGACGGUAUCUAACCAGAAAGCCACGGCUAACUACGUG
RNAcentral lists this ribosomal RNA (498 nucleotides) under uncultured bacterium. Its description in RNAcentral is "partial 16S ribosomal RNA". It matches the Rfam family "Bacterial small subunit ribosomal RNA", at positions 28 to 507 of the family's 1533-position model. The record is from RNAcentral.